RNAcentral lists this transfer RNA (73 nucleotides) under Phycisphaeraceae bacterium. RNAcentral describes it as "tRNA-Val". It matches the Rfam family "tRNA". From Rfam's summary of the family: Transfer RNA (tRNA) molecules are approximately 80 nucleotides in length. Their secondary structure includes four short double-helical elements and three loops (D, anti-codon, and T loops). The record is from RNAcentral. Lineage: Bacteria; Pseudomonadati; Planctomycetota; Phycisphaerae; Phycisphaerales; Phycisphaeraceae.
GGGCGGGUAGCUCAGCGGCUAGAGCACUCGCUUUACACGCGAGGGGUCCAGGGUUCGAAUCCCUGCCUGCCCA